RNAcentral lists this ribosomal RNA (415 nucleotides) under uncultured bacterium. Its description in RNAcentral is "bacterial SSU rRNA". It matches the Rfam family "Bacterial small subunit ribosomal RNA", at positions 917 to 1333 of the family's 1533-position model. The record is from RNAcentral.
GGCCCCGCACAAGCGGUGGAGCAUGUGGUUUAAUUCGAUGAUACGCGAGGAACCUUACCAGGGCUUAAAUGUAAGUUGCAUAAGCUAGAGAUAGCUUUUUCUUCGGACUACUUACAAGGUGCUGCAUGGUUGUCGUCAGCUCGUGCCGUGAGGUGUCAGGUUAAGUCCUAUAACGAGCGCAACCCCUGUUGUUAGUUGCCAUCGAGUUAAUGUCGGGAACUCUAACAAGACUGCCGGUGCAAACCGAGAGGAAGGUGGGGAUGACGUCAAAUCAUCACGGCCCUUACGUCCUGGGCUACACACGUGCUACAAUGGCCGGUACAGAGAGCAGCCACUACGCGAGUAGGAGCGAAUCUAUAAAACCGGGUCUCAGUUCGGAUCGGAGUCUGCAACUCGACUCCGUGAAGCUGGAAUC